Molecule: ribosomal RNA, 428 nt
Filed under: uncultured bacterium
Lineage: Bacteria
Description: bacterial SSU rRNA
Rfam family: Bacterial small subunit ribosomal RNA
Source: RNAcentral
UGGGGAAUCUUGCGCAAUGGGGGCAACCCUGACGCAGCAACGCCGCGUGAACGAUGAAGCUCUUAGGAGUGUAAAGUUCUGUCGUGAAGGAAGAACCUUUUGGUUGGAAAUACCAAUCAGAACUGACGGUACUUCACAAGAAAGCUCCGGCUAACUCCGUGCCAGCAGCCGCGGUAAUACGGGGGGAGCAAGCGUUGUCCGGAAUCAUUGGGCGUAAAGGGCGCGCAGGCGGAUUAGUAAGUCGGAUUUGAAAUCUUACGGCUUAACCGUAAAAUUGGAUUCGAUACUGCUGAUCUUGAGUUCGGUAAGGGAAAGCGGAAUUCCUGGUGUAGCGGUGAAAUGCGUAGAUAUCAGGAGGAACACCGGUGGCGAAGGCGGCUUUCUAGGCCGACACUGACGCUGAGGCGCGAAAGCGUGGGGAGCGAACA